AGUGAACGCUGGCGGUAGGCCUAACACAUGCAAGUCGAACGGCAGCACAGUAAGAGCUUGCUCUUACGGGUGGCGAGUGGCGGACGGGUGAGGAAUACAUCGGAAUCUACUUUUUCGUGGGGGAUAACGUAGGGAAACUUACGCUAAUACCGCAUACGACCUACGGGUGAAAGCAGAGGAUCUUCGGACCUUGCGCGAUUGAAUGAGCCGAUGUCGGAUUAGCUAGUUGGCGGGGUAAAGGCCCACCAAGGCGACGAUCCGUAGCUGGUCUGAGAGGAUGAUCAGCCACACUGGAACUGAGACACGGUCCAGACUCCUACGGGAGGCAGCAGUGGGGAAUCUUGGGCAAUGGGCGAAAGCCUGAUCCAGCCAUACCGCGUGAGUGAAGAAGGCCUUCGGGUUGUAAAGCCCUUUUGUUGGGAAAGAAAAGCAGCAGGUUAAUACCCCGCUGUUCUGACGGUACCCAAAGAAUAAGCACCGGCUAACUUCGUG
Molecule: ribosomal RNA, 492 nt
Filed under: uncultured bacterium
Lineage: Bacteria
Description: partial 16S ribosomal RNA
Rfam family: Bacterial small subunit ribosomal RNA
Source: RNAcentral